RNAcentral lists this ribosomal RNA (889 nucleotides) under Amphiura sinicola. RNAcentral's name for it is "12S ribosomal RNA". The stretch from base 182 to 889 matches the Rfam family "Microsporidia small subunit ribosomal RNA". Lineage: Eukaryota; Metazoa; Echinodermata; Ophiuroidea; Amphilepidida; Amphiuridae. The record is from RNAcentral.
UUUAACUAAUUUGGUUCUGGUUUUUAUAAUUAGGGGAGUUAAAAUUUAUGCAUGCGAACUUGUAGUAAUCUGGUAAAGCAAGUGAUCCUCUUUGGGGCUUAAUAUUCUUAAAUAAAGUUAGAGGGGCCCAUAAAAAUUAACUGUAAUGCAUAUAGAGAACGAUGUUUGUUAAGUAGCGUUACACCUGCAGCAAUAAAUAAUUAACAAUAACUGAGAGGUUGAUUAUGUUAAGACUAUUAAUAAGCGUGGCUAAAUAUCGUGCCAGCAGCCGCGGUUACACGAAUAAGCUAUCUAAUAUAGUAAGCGGCUUAAUGAAGAAACUAAAUCUAUUAAUAAACUAAAAGGGUAAAACUAAAAGUUAAAUUUUAACUUAUUUGGAAAGUUUAUAUUUUGGAGACUUCGAAAUUUAGGGGGGAAACCUGGAUUAGAUACCCAGUUAUUCUUAAAAGUUAAACUUAAAUGCCGGUGGAGUAUGGGGGAGACCUUGAGAAACAAAGAACUUGGCGGUUGCUUAAGUCUGACUAGAGGUACCUGCUUUUGAAAAUUGAUGAUCCGCAUUACACCUUACCUUUUCUUGAAAAGUUCAGCUACUAUAUCAUCGUCGUUAACCUCCUAUUGUGAAUUUAAGGUGGGUAUAAAAUUAAUUUAGAUAAGACGUCAGAUCAAGAUGGUGUUUAUGAAGAGGGCUUAAGUUGGUAGCAUUAGCUUUUGGCUACUUUAGUUUGGAAUUUUUUUUGAAAUUAAAAAAUGAAAUAGGAUUUAGUAGUAAAGUUUACUAGAAAUUAAGCUUGAAAUUAGAUACUAAGCUUCGUACACAUCGCCCGUCGCCUGCGAGGUAAAACUUGGAGUAAGUCGUAACAUAGUAGGUGUACCGGAAGGUGUGACCUGG